This 333-nucleotide ribosomal RNA is filed under the name Triticum aestivum (bread wheat). Its description in RNAcentral is "partial small subunit ribosomal RNA". The record is from RNAcentral. Lineage: Eukaryota; Viridiplantae; Streptophyta; Magnoliopsida; Poales; Poaceae.
AUGCGCACUAGCGACAGCGGCACGUCGUCGUCUCUCAGCGGUGGGGGCACCAGGAGCUCGGUGGGCGGGACUAUGCGCAAGAUCACCGCCUACUUCGGUGAGGCCCUAGCCCGCCGCGUCUUCCGCUUCUGCCCACAGCCGAACAGCUCCCUCCUCGACGCUGCCUUCGUCGACCUCCUCCACGCACACUUCUAUGAGUCGUGUCCCUACCUCAAGUUUGCCCACUUUACCGCGCAUCAGGCUAUCCUGGAGGCGUUCGCGACUAUCGUCGCGUCCACGUCGUCGACUUCGUCAUCAAGUAGGGGAUGUAGUGACCCCAUAUGCAGAAUGUAA